This 945-nucleotide long non-coding RNA is filed under the name Mytilus galloprovincialis (Mediterranean mussel). The record is from RNAcentral. Lineage: Eukaryota; Metazoa; Mollusca; Bivalvia; Mytilida; Mytilidae.
GGGAUAUUAUAACAUCUAAAUGUUCCAUAAUUAAACUGAAAAUGACUAUCGACUUUUACUCAGACAUUGGGUGUUCAUUUCUGUUACAUGUUUUUGAAAAUGUAGCCUGUUAUGAUAAAACAAAAGACAACACCGAAAAAUGAAAAAGAGAAACACACUUUAAAAUGGAAAAGACGAAUUUGAAUGAUUCGUAUUACAUUGGGAUUUAUAUUUAACAACAUUGCUGCUUUUAUAAAUGUGUGUGUGGUGAAUAGAAACAUAUUCAUAGACGGAGAAGUUGCUCUGGGAUUUGUUUAUAACUAUUGUUUUGUUUAAUGUGAUAGCAUACAUCACUAUUGAAGUAGUUUUUUGGAUUGGUUUGUUGUAUGCUGAUGACGAUCCGAAUCACAAAGAAAUAUUGACCUGUAUUAUAUUGUACAGAAUAUAUGAAAUAAAAUUUGAUAUUUUAUUGUUUUUCUACAGUCUGGUUUUAUCAAACUUGGAAAUGACAGAGUUUACAACCGCCACAACUGUACUUGGUUGUUUAUACAUAGUUAUAAAUAUCAUUUUACUUGGAAGGAAUUGUUAUGACUUGCUAAAGUUAAACAAAAAACUCACGUACAAAAAAAGUUAUUAUUUGUAGUGUUCUGCUAUGUGUCGUGCCUUUCACCUGUUAUAGGAAUUGCAAUAUUGAUUUUUGUAUUUUAUACACCAUUAAAAAAGGAAAAUGAUCGCAUUUAAAUUAAUUUAGUUUUUCAAUGAAUAAAUAUCAAUUUGUGCAUAAUAUUUAUUGAAAUUGUUGAUAUUGUAAUCAUAUAGUAUACCGUAAGCUUGAACAAUGUGUUUUCAACUCGUUAUGGUAGUUGUAAAGCUCUAAGUUAACCUCUAAAGGGAAACGUCAUAUACAUUACUGUUGAAUAACUAUAUGUUUUGUGUCUUUUAUAGAUCAGAUGUUAAUUGGUCAAA